UGGGUACGACAAAUUAGUUGCACAAGUAAUUGAAACAGCACGCACACAAUUACUUCAUUAGUUGUUAAUCUAAUGGGAUUGUUUUUGUAUGCCUUCUGAGUUUAACGAAAACUAUACUUAAAAAUACGUUUACUCAGUUUCAACUCAGUAAACUUUGGCGUACUUAAAUAUGGCCAAGUGGAGGUGUUCCGAUCAUUUGUCUGGUGUUUGGGCAGCAGAAUUAUCGGGACACGGAGAAGUUAGUUGCGGGAGUUUCAUAUCGAAGUCAGAAAACGAACGCAAGACAGAGAAGUUGGAUUUUAAAAAAUCAGGACAUGUAAGGAAGCUUCCAAAAUGCUCUUCAAAAAAUGCAAUAAUGACGCGAAUAAAUCGUCUCAACUACAUGAUGCAAUCUCAUCAGAGUGAAAUAGCUCGACUUUCUGAUGAAAACACCAAACUUAAAGAGACUUUGGAAGGUCAGUCUUCACUUGUGUGUUCAUUAAGAAAAGAAGUUCUUUACUUGAAGGGUGUGUUAGCAAACAACAAGGAGAUUAGAAUGUUGCUACAGUCUAUACAAAACACGGGGCUGCCAGUAACUACCUCCAUUAGCAAGCACACUCUGAACAAUAACACACAUUCAGCUCCAGAUCACAAUUAUGUGCAUACAGGAAGUGAUAGCAGCAUUUGUUCACGUUUCAGUGAUGUGGUUGAUGGAAGCAGCACAACAUUUACUUUAGAUAAAAAAGAACAAAUUUAUAUCAAAGAUGAUGUAGCACUUUCUUUGUCAAUGCCACAUCAUGAUAUUCUAGAUGAUACACUCCUAUCACCUUCUGAUAGAAAUCUUUAUGAUACUGAAUUUUGUGAUUGUUAUUCGGUUCAGCCUACCACCCUUGAUUUACCAGUCACUGGAUUUGCAGCAGGUGAUGAGCCAUUCAUGGAUGUUGGUGUUUGCCUGCAAGUUGCCAAGAGGAGGGUAUCGUUGGAAUUCUGUAGCACUUGCAGUAGCAGUGCACUUUCAACAUGGGAUGAUUUGGAUGUAAUAAAGUGAAAGGAAUUUGGCUUGUAACUUGAUAAUAAUGGCCUGUUGGAUGACUUCACUGUAAUGGAAGGCUUGCAGUUCUACCUUCCAUGUGAAGUAUGGCUAAGUCAUGUGGUGGACCAUGAAACUACAAGACGAAAUGUGUGGUGAGGUACUAAAAUUGUUUUAUGGUCGGUAUCUUCUUAUAUUUGUAAUAUGGAAUUUAUUAAGUGAUAUUUAUAUAAGGUAAAGUCUGAUGUAACAUGGACAUUAAAGAGAUCUUAAGAAUAUGUGCCUCAUAUCAGAUUAAUUUGUGUGUUCAUUGUAUAACACCAUUAAAAAUUCCAACAAGCAGUCUGAAUCUUGAGGUAUAAUAGAUACCUUUUUUAUUAUAUUUUUACAAGUUAAUUUCAUUUUGCUGUUAGUGUAUGUGCAUUCUUUAUAGGUGAAUUCUAGAACAAGACCUGAAAAAACGUUAAUUAGUUUCUUAUUAAGUUAAAAGUUAUUUUGUUUGCAUUGUGAGAGUCCCACAAUGUAGCUAAUCACGAAGUUUCUACUACCCUCUCAGGAGUGAACCAUGCUACUAAUGUUUGGCCACAAUUGUGUUGUGAAGGCAGUACUUGUUCAAAUAAUUGGUAGAGUAUUGAAGAAUGCUGACACUGUUUAGGUCACAUAAUUUUUGUUAUGUUAAUAGUGAAUUGAGAUGUAGGUGGCUGUGUUGAAUAUAAUUGCAUUUAGUAUGUGUUCCAGAGUGGUACUUUAAAACUGAUUUGAUUUUCUGUAUCGAUAUGAUAAAUUUCCCUCAUGAGGUUAUGUUUGUAGUAUUUCAUCGAUUGUUUAGGAAAUGUGAUGGGAUCUUUAUUUAAUGAGCCAUAUUAUAUCAGGCUUUUACUGUGAAACAUGGAAAUGUUGUUAAGUUGUAAAGCUAAUGAGUGAUGUCUGAACUAAUUGUUUUGUAUUUCAGCAAUGGGAGAUGUUCCAGUGAUACGUACCAUGUGUCAUCAAAGUGUUCUGUAUCUUAUGAGUUAAUUAAGUAAACAUGUAAUGUAGCUUCUACUUUAGUUUUAACUUUAACAUAUGUUGAAUGAAAAUGGGAAGUAGAGAAAUUGUUCAAGCCUGCUAGGUAGAUUGUCAUAUAUGCCAAUUGUAUGGAAUUUUAAAGAUAUCAAUAUAAUGUAUUACAAACCAC
Zootermopsis nevadensis is the source of this 2186-nucleotide RNA transcript. RefSeq lists it as uncharacterized. NCBI's taxonomy places the organism in Eukaryota, Metazoa, Arthropoda, Insecta, Blattodea, Termopsidae. The record is from RefSeq and is a predicted model, not a curated record.